Molecule: ribosomal RNA, 309 nt
Filed under: uncultured bacterium
Lineage: Bacteria
Description: bacterial SSU rRNA
Rfam family: Bacterial small subunit ribosomal RNA
Source: RNAcentral
UUGGAAACUGAUUUACUUGAGUGCGAUAGAGGCAAGUGGAACUCCAUGUGUAGCGGUGAAAUGCGUAGAUAUGUGGGAAGAACACCAGUGGCGAAAGCGGCUUGCUAGAUCGUAACUGACGUUGAGGCUCGAAAGUAUGGGUAGCAAACGGGAUUAGAUACCCCGGUAGUCCAUACCGUAAACGAUGGGUGCUAGUUGUUAAGAGGUUUCCGCCUCCUAGUGACGUAGCAAACGCAUUAAGCACCCCGCCUGAGGAGUACGGCCGCAAGGCUAAAACUUAAAGGAAUUGACGGGGACCCGCACAAGCGG